Non-coding RNA from Rhexocercosporidium sp. MPI-PUGE-AT-0058, 83 nucleotides. Lineage: Eukaryota; Fungi; Ascomycota; Leotiomycetes; Helotiales. The record is from the annotation of a GenBank genome assembly.
GCUCAUGUAGCUCAGUGGUAGAGCAGCGGAUUGCAGUUAAUCAACUUCUCCGCAGGUCAUCUGUUCGAUCCAGGUCAGGAGCU